RNAcentral lists this ribosomal RNA (460 nucleotides) under uncultured bacterium. RNAcentral's name for it is "partial 16S ribosomal RNA". It matches the Rfam family "Bacterial small subunit ribosomal RNA", at positions 338 to 795 of the family's 1533-position model. The record is from RNAcentral.
CCUACGGGUGGCGGCAGGGAGGAAUAUUGGUCAAUGGGCGCGAGCCGGAACCAGCCAAGUAGCGUGAAGGAUGACUGCCCUACGGGUUGUAAACUUCUUUUAUAAAGGAAUAAAGUGAGGCACGUGUGCCUUUUUGUAUGUACUUUAUGAAUAAGGAUCGGCUAACUCCGUGCCAGCAGCCGCGGUAAUACGGAGGAUCCGAGCGUUAUCCGGAUUUAUUGGGUUUAAAGGGAGCGUAGAUGGGUUGUUAAGUCAGUUGUGAAAGUUUGCGGCUCAACCGUAAAAUUGCAAUUGAUACUGGCAGCCUUGAGUGCAGUUGAGGUAGGCGGAAUUCGUGGUGUAGCGGUGAAAUGCUUAGAUAUCACGAAGAACUCCGAUUGCGAAGGCAGCUUACUAGACUGCAACUGACAUUGAUGCUCGAAAGUGUGGGUAUCAAACAGGAUUAGAUACCCGAGUAGUC